Molecule: non-coding RNA, 353 nt
Organism: Cinara cedri
Lineage: Eukaryota; Metazoa; Arthropoda; Insecta; Hemiptera; Aphididae
Source: the annotation of a GenBank genome assembly
GUAUAAGUACCUAACAAUAAUAAUACUAAUAAUAAUAAUAAUGUAUUGUAACAGCACACAUAUAUAAUACUCACAUGUAAUUGUAUAAUACGAGUGCCUAUGAAAUCCAGAAGACGAUAUAUUUUAUCCGCGUUGAGUGUAAACAUUUAGAUCAUUUGUUUAUUUAUUGAAAAACACCAACAUGAAUAAUAAAAAAAAAAAAAAAGGAAAAAAGAAAACCCCGCGUUUAUAAUAUAAUAUUGUGCUCGGAAAUCUUAAUGCAGAGAACACUAGAUGAAAUAAUAUACUAUAGGGUAUUAUCAUAAUUGUGCUCGCUAGCUCCCGUUCCUUCCGGCAUUUACUCAACACGCAUU